GGCAAGAUGAUGGGCUCCCGGAAGAGCGAACCGCAGACGGGGCAUUUCAGCUCUUCUUCCAUAGCUGCGGCUGCUUUGUGUCCAGACAGCGGAGUAGGGCGGAUGGAAGCGAUCAACACGAAGGCGGCAAGCUACGAUGUCGGAAAGGAAUCCGAUUUCAGCACUCAGGAGGCGUUGGACAGGUCCUCGUGGGAGAGAGAGAGACGAGUUCAGCACCGCGGCAUGUAUGGACAGCGUUUUCGGCGAGCGGUUGAGCA
Crotalus tigris (Tiger rattlesnake) is the source of this 257-nucleotide long non-coding RNA. RefSeq lists it as uncharacterized. The record is from RefSeq and is a predicted model, not a curated record. Lineage: Eukaryota; Metazoa; Chordata; Lepidosauria; Squamata; Viperidae. The transcript has 2 exons.